UACGUAGGUGGCGAGCGUUGUCCGGAAUUAUUGGGCGUAAAGGGCGCGUAGGCGGCGGCUUAAGUCAGAUGUGAAAACCCAGGGCUCAACUCUGGGCGUGCAUUUGAAACUGGGUUGCUAGAGUGCAGGAGAGGAAAGUGGAAUUCCUAGUGUAGCGGUGAAAUGCGUAGAGAUUAGGAGGAACACCAGUGGCGAAGGCGACUUUCUGGACUGUAACUGACGCUGAGGCGCGAAAGCGUGGGGAGCAAACAGG
RNAcentral lists this ribosomal RNA (253 nucleotides) under uncultured bacterium. RNAcentral describes it as "partial 16S ribosomal RNA". It matches the Rfam family "Bacterial small subunit ribosomal RNA", at positions 524 to 776 of the family's 1533-position model. The record is from RNAcentral.